Molecule: ribosomal RNA, 664 nt
Filed under: uncultured Lachnospiraceae bacterium
Lineage: Bacteria; Bacillati; Bacillota; Clostridia; Lachnospirales; Lachnospiraceae
Description: bacterial SSU rRNA
Rfam family: Bacterial small subunit ribosomal RNA
Source: RNAcentral
AAGUCGAGCGAGCGAGAGAGAGCUUGCUUUCUCGAGCGAGUGGCGAACGGGUGAGUAACGCGUGAGGAACCUGCCUCAAAGAGGGGGACAACAGUUGGAAACGACUGCUAAUACCGCAUAAGCCCACAGGUCGGCAUCGACCAGGGGGAAAAGGAGCAAUCCGCUUUGAGAUGGCCUCGCGUCCGAUUAGCUAGUUGGUGAGGUAAUGGCCCACCAAGGCAACGAUCGGUAGCCGGACUGAGAGGUUGAACGGCCACAUUGGGACUGAGACACGGCCCAGACUCCUACGGGAGGCAGCAGUGGGGAAUAUUGCACAAGGGGGGAAACCCUGAUGCAGCGACGCCGCGUGGAGGAAGAAGGUCUUCGGAUUGUAAACUCCUGUUGUUGAGGAAGAUAAUGACGGUACUCAACAAGGAAGUGACGGCUAACUACGUGCCAGCAGCCGCGGUAAAACGUAGGUCACAAGCGUUGUCCGGAAUUACUGGGUGUAAAGGGAGCGCAGGCGGGAAGACAAGUUGGAAGUGAAAUCUAUGGGCUCAACCCAUAAACUGCUUUCAAAACUGUUUUUCUUGAGUAGUGCAGAGGUAGGCGGAAUUCCCGGUGUAGCGGUGGAAUGCGUAGAUAUCGGGAGGAACACCAGUGGCGAAGGCGGCCUACUGGGCAC